GAUGAACGCUAGCGGCAGGCCUAAUACAUGCAAGUCGAACGGCAGCACGAGUAGCAAUACUUGGUGGCGAGUGGCGCACGGGUGCGUAACGCGUAUGCAAUCUACCCUUGACUGGGGAAUAGCCCCGAGAAAUCGGGAUUAAUACUCCAUAACAUCAUCGAGAGGCAUCUCUUGAUGAUCAAAGUUCUGGCGGUCAAGGAUGAGCAUGCGUGACAUUAGCUAGUUGGUGAGGUAACGGCUCACCAAGGCGACGAUGUCUAGGGGUUCUGAGAGGAUUAUCCCCCACACUGGUACUGAGACACGGACCAGACUCCUACGGGAGGCAGCAGUAAGGAAUAUUGGGCAAUGGACGCAAGUCUGACCCAGCCAUGCCGCGUGCAGGAUGACAGCCCUACGGGUUGUAAACUGCUUUUGUACGGGAAAAACCCCUCGCUCGUGAGCGAGGCUGAUGGUACCGUAAGAAUAAGGAUCGGCUAACUCCGUGCCAGCAGCCGCCGUAAGAC
RNAcentral lists this ribosomal RNA (503 nucleotides) under uncultured bacterium. RNAcentral's name for it is "bacterial SSU rRNA". It matches the Rfam family "Bacterial small subunit ribosomal RNA", at positions 28 to 526 of the family's 1533-position model. The record is from RNAcentral.